This is a non-coding RNA of Schistosoma mansoni, 46 nucleotides long. NCBI's taxonomy places the organism in Eukaryota, Metazoa, Platyhelminthes, Trematoda, Strigeidida, Schistosomatidae. The record is from Rfam.
ACACUGCCGAGGAGUCCCAUAAUAGAACGAAAUGGCCAUCCAGUAC